GGUUGCUAUAGUGAUGAUGUAGAAGAUAUGCAAUUGUUUCUACCUGGCUAUCACUACUAUGCUAACGUUAUCAGUAAGCCAGAUAAUAUUAGGGACUUGCCUGAAAAUCUUUAGGACAAGGUUGAACAACUGCCAGCAAAUAGCAGCCGCUACCAUACAUCAGCUGUUGUUAGUAGCGGCAGAUAUUUACUGUCAAAAUUGGAAUCAAGCCCUAAAGUUUAUACUUUUUGGUCUUGGUAUUGGGGUGCAGUCCUAACAUAUAGCUUCAUUCAAUAUGACUGUGGCUUGAUCUUAGGGUCACCAGCUAGCAUUUAUCUUAAUUUAAACAAUUAUUGACCUUUAUGGAUUGAUCAUGCAUUUGUUCAUUUAGUG
Non-coding RNA from Pelobates cultripes (western spadefoot toad), 372 nucleotides. The record is from the annotation of a GenBank genome assembly. NCBI's taxonomy places the organism in Eukaryota, Metazoa, Chordata, Amphibia, Anura, Pelobatidae.